UACGUAGGGUGCAGGCGUUAAUCGGAAUUACUGGGCGUAAAGCGUGCGCAGGCGGUUUCUUAAGUCAGAUGUGAAAGCCCCGGGCUUAACCUGGGAACUGCGUUUGAAACUGGGAGACUUGAGUGUGGCAGGAGGGGGGUGGAAUUCCGACGUGUAGCAGUGAAAUGCGUAGAUAUGUGGAGGAACACCGAUGGCGAAGGCAGCCCCCUGGGUUAACACUGACGCUCAUGCACGAAAGCGUGGGGAGCAAACAGG
This 255-nucleotide ribosomal RNA is filed under the name uncultured bacterium. RNAcentral's name for it is "partial 16S ribosomal RNA". It matches the Rfam family "Bacterial small subunit ribosomal RNA", at positions 524 to 776 of the family's 1533-position model. The record is from RNAcentral.